AUCAGAGUAUUUUUGUUUUUGAUUUUCUUUUCGUUGUUUUGUAAUUGGGGUGGGUGAGGGAGCAGUUUGGUUAUGGGUGAGUUUGACGUUGGCACCAAUUGUUGUCAUUUGAUUUAUGUGUACAACAUUUAAACUGGACAGACUAAAUCAUUCUUGUUCAAUAUUUGAGGCCAUAUAUAAAUCUUUGUAUAUUCCUCGGCACUAGGAAUUCGAAGAAAUCUUGUGUUCCUGACCAAUUUCUCCCAUUAAUAUUUAUUAUUUAAUGAUACAAAGACAGAAUAAAAUGGAGAUCGAGUUUCAAUCCGUUUAAAUCUCCGCCAUCCGAUGUUCUAGAGAAUGGGUUGAUCACAGGCUUGCCAUGUGAAUACAUGUCUAAAUAAUAAUUUUUAUAACUUUUGAAGCUAAUAUAAAGACCUGUAAUAAACAGAUUUAACUCCAACAUAAUGCAUCUUUAAAUAUAGAAAUCGGGUUUGCCGGCACGUGUCUAUAUAUAUAAGCCUGGAUUUUCCAGUUAAAAAUAGACCUGACGUGUUGUUUGUUAAGGGGAUGGACAGGGUUAGUAGAACGAGGAAUAGCUGAACAAUUGUUUAACAGAUCAAGACAAGAUAAAUACUAAUAUAUAGCAACCAAUCAUUUUAUUAUACCAACCCCUGAUACAACUAGGAAGUAAAUUAAACUGUAACGUCGCCAUUAAAUUGUUGAAAUAAAAGACUCUAUAGAGAGGAUUAUUAUCAUAUUGAAGCCUGUGUCAAUAAACUAAUAUAAAGACCUGUAAUAAACAGAUUUAACUCCAACAUAAUGCAUCUUUAAAUAUAGAAAUCGGGUUUGCCGGCACGUGUCUAUAUAUAUAAGCCUGGAUUUUCCAGUUAAAAAUAGACCUGACGUGUUGUUUGUUUAGGGGAUGGACAGGGUUAGUAGAACGAGGAAUAGCUGAACAAUUGUUUAACAGAUCAAGACAAGAUAAAUACUAAUAUAUAGCAACCACUCAUUUUAUUAUACCAACCCCUGAUACAACUAGGAAGUAAAUUAAACUGUAACGUCGCCAUUAAAUUGUUGAAAUAAAAGACUCU
Long non-coding RNA from Patella vulgata (common limpet), 1070 nucleotides. RefSeq lists it as uncharacterized. The transcript has 4 exons. Lineage: Eukaryota; Metazoa; Mollusca; Gastropoda; Patellidae. The record is from RefSeq and is a predicted model, not a curated record.